Molecule: unclassified non-coding RNA, 2419 nt
Filed under: Hevea brasiliensis (rubber tree)
Lineage: Eukaryota; Viridiplantae; Streptophyta; Magnoliopsida; Malpighiales; Euphorbiaceae
Source: RNAcentral
AAAAAUCUAUCCUCUUUGCCGCAUUCCUUUCUUCGCUUCACUCAUUACCAUCUUCUCCACACUCUGCAACCACUCUUCAAUCCUAGACUGUUUUUUCCAUUCUAAAAUUAAUCAUUUCAUUUUAUUUUCUUGAAUUUAUAGACUCCCAUUUGAAUUCUUACCAGUUCUGGCUAUAAAGGAUUGUUAUUUAUCCUCCAAAGCGUAUAAAAUAAACCCAUGAAGCAGCUGCAAGAUUUAAGGAGAGAAGGGAAUUUUCUUGGAAUGGAUAAAGGGUGUGGGUCUUGUGUGACUGUGGGUAUCAUGGGGUUUCGUGAGAUGGGUAGGUGUUGCUUCAGUGGGGUAUUGAUUGCUCUGUUGUGUUUUGGGUGGUUGGCGAGUUAUGUGGUGGAAGGGUACCCUGCUAAGGAUCUGGUGGUGGACUUGCCUGGCCAACCCAAGGUUGGGUUCAAGCAGUUUGCUGGGUAUAUUGAUGUGGAUGUCAAGAAUGGUAGGAGCUUGUUUUAUUACUUUGUUGAGGCUGAGAAGAACCCUGAAAAGAAGCCCCUUGCUCUCUGGCUCAACGGAGGUCCUGGUUGUUCCUCCAUUGGUGGAGGUGCCUUCACUGAAUUGGGUCCGUUUUUUCCUACAGGGGAUGGCCGGGGCCUUCGAAGAAAUUCAAUGUCUUGGAACAGAGCAUCAAACAUCCUCUUCGUUGAGUCUCCUGCUGGAGUAGGGUGGUCAUACUCGGAUACAGCUUCUGAUUACACUACAGGAGACGCCAAAACUGCCAAUGAUAUGUAUAUUUUCUUAUUGAAGUGGUAUCAGAAGUUCCCGGAAUUCAAAUCACGGGAACUGUUUCUUACAGGAGAAAGCUAUGCAGGGCAUUACAUUCCACAGUUGGCUGACGCUCUUCUGGAUCAUAAUGCACGUUCAACUGGUUUCAAGUUCAAUAUCAAAGGAGUUGCUAUCGGGAAUCCACUCCUUAGACUUGAUCGGGAUGUUCCAGCAACAUAUGAAUUCUUUUGGUCUCAUGGGAUGAUUUCUGAUGAGAUUGGCCUCAAGGUCAUGAAUGAAUGUCAGUUUGAUGACUACACCUUUUCAAACCCACACAACGUAACAGUUUCAUGUAAUGAAGCGAUAGCUGAAGCAAAUAGCAUAGUUGGUGACUAUAUUAACAAUUACGAUGUGAUCCUAGAUGUUUGUUAUCCAUCUUUAGCAGAGCAAGAACUGCGACUGAGGAAAAUGGCUACCAAGAUAAGUGUCGGGGUUGAUGUUUGUAUGACACUUGAAAGAAGUUUCUACUUCAACCUUCCUGAGGUUCAGAAGGCUCUUCAUGCUAAUAGAACUAAUCUACCAUAUAGAUGGUCCAUGUGCAGUGGGUAAGGGAGACUUAAAUUGGGGUUCCAAACAAAUUCAAGAAGAAAAAGGAUUUCUUAAAACAAAAAAUUGCAACAUUUCUUACUCUGUUAGCAUAAUUAUUAACCCCUACUAUUCCAGUUUCGAACUUGUACAGCAUCUCACAUAGUAAUUCCUGAAUAAAGUUUGUCUGUAAAAGUUCUCGUUAUGCCCUAGUUCUUGUAUGAGUCCUUGUUUAAGUUUUGCCAGUCAAAUCAUAAAUUGUUUAACUGAUGUCUGCAUAUUGAUUCAUAAUAUAACUAAUUUUUGUGUCCUUGUUUGUUGGACAGUGUUGUAGAGUACAGUGAUACCGACGGCAAUAUGGACAUGCUUCCCAUUCUCAAAAAGAUAAUUAAAAAUCGUAUUCCAGUUUGGGUGUUCAGGUAAGUACCAUAUUGUACAGGAUGAUAUAUAAAUUUUCUUUGUUCUUCCAUAGGUUGUCAAGCAACAUGAUUUUGCUUAUGAUCCCUUUAUUGAAUUAAUCAAUCAAUGUAGUGGUGAUCAAGAUUCUGUUGUACCACUUCUGGGCUCCAGAACACUCGUCCGCGAGCUAGCUCAUGAUCUAAACUUCAAGAUUACAGUCCCUUAUGGAGCUUGGUUUCACAAAGGCCAGGUUGCAGGUUGGGCAACAGAGUAUGGUAAUUUUUUGACUUUUGCCACAGUAAGGGGUGCUGCCCAUAUGGUGCCAUAUUCACAGCCAUCAAGAGCUCUGCAUCUAUUCAGUUCAUUUGUUCGUGGCCGGAGAUUGCCUAGUACACCACACACUUCGAUAGACGAUUGAGAAUUGUUUCAUCAUUGUUUCAUGUUAGCAGCAAUAAUAAUCUCAAAGAGAAAAGGCAUUUCAAUUGUAGUUAAGGAUUUCAGUGUCUUGAUUUAAUUUCUAGAACUUGUUUCUAAUUAGAAUGAAUAGUUCAUAUUCAUAAUGGAUUUGAUAGAGUUUUAGCUGCAGUUCUAGUCUCUUGCUCUAUUAAUGUCUGUUUUCAACUCUUAAUUGGUUAUUUUUAAGAAUCUUGGGAGGAUGGUACGAUUUAUUAAUGGAACGAAG